UAAGCAGUCCAAAGCCUGUGAUAGAUGGAGAAAAAGUGAUAUUAAGCUGUUCAACUGAAUGCACUCUGGAUACCAAACAUACUUACAUCUGGUAUAAGAAUGGACAACAGGUAACAGAUGGAUUGACAUUAUUAAACAAGCUGUACCUGGACUCAAUCAACAGUGAGGAGCUACAAGAGUAUUCCUGUACUGUAAGAGGUAACACAACAUCUCAUCAUACAUCUGAUGAAAUUAUAUAAGAGAGAGUUUCUGUCCUUGAUGCUGAUUGGUUUAUUUACAGCUAUGACAUCAUCACUGAGCUACUUUAAUUCUCAUUGUGCAGCACUCAUAGCUGAUCAUUAAUAUUGUGUCAGUUAUAGGAAACACUUUAGUGUAACAUGACUGCAGGAGGCGCAAUAUUAUGCAGUGCCUGAAAAUAUUCCCCUUAAGCCCUUUUCACACACAUUCCGAAAAAUACUCGGAAAAUGCAUCCUGGAAUUUUUUAAAGGAGAGCGUGAAUGCUGGUGAAUGAUUUCAGCUUCAGAGUGGAUAUUUGACAAGCUCCCUGAUCUCUGCUUCAUUAGAAAAUCACAACUUUUAAUUUUCGCGUAACUUCCGGUAAACUCUGUUUACAAAGUUCUUUAAACGUAGUUUAUUUAUAUAACAAGCAAAAAACCAACACAUGGAUACCUAACAAUCCAAAACAUUUGUUAUUUUCGACGAGGCAUUUGUUAAAGAGAUCAGUUUAGCAACUAGUCAGACCAUUAAAAAAAUGAAACCGGAAGUAAGGUUCGGAUCUAGACGUGUGUCACGUGCGUCCGAUGAAACCGUAUAUACACCUCUAAAGAUAAUGACCAGGUAAUGUUUCACAAUUUCAUACAAAUAUUAGGCUACUGCAUAGUCUACUAAACUACAGAUGAUGGUAAUAGGAUAAUAAGAAGUUUUUUCCAAGAGUAGGCCUAUAACAAUAAAGUAGCCUACCGCGUUUGCUGACUUAUAACGUUUUUUACAUGAUUGCAGCUAAAUCACAAGUAAACAGUCUAUAGUCUAUGUCUACUGUUUAAUUUCAUUUGUGUUUUUUUAUUGUAAUGUUAACAUUACAAAAUGCUAUGACAAAGUUAAUUGUGUACGUUGCAUUAUUUCAUAACAUUGGCUGUUAUAAUGUCACUAUACAUGAUUAUUGCUAUUUAUCAUACACUCUUAAGAAAAAUGAUUCUUCAAAGGUUCUGAAAUGAUGGUAAAGGUUCUAUAUAGAACCAUAGCUUACUGAAGAACCCUUUUUUCCCGAAAUGGUUCUUUGUCUUGACAAAAAGGGUUCUUCAGUUCCCUCCUUUUUUGAUUUUAAAUUUAGUCAGUUAUUUUCAAGCUGCCUCCUGAUUAUUUUCACCUGUAAAAGCCCUGAAUCAUCAGUCUUGCUGAAUCGCCUGCAGACUAACAACACAAACAGGUAAGAGAGGAAAAUAAUCAUCAUUUACUGUUAAAAACAUUAUGAAAAUUGAAGCUUUGUGUGUUCUUAUUGUAAUUUAUUUAUUUUAUAGCAGGUAAACUUUAUACUGUAAGCUUCAUUCCCUUUAUAACAGAGAUUUCAUAUGUGAGGUAAUCUUACUGGGAGUGAAGGCAGUGCUUAUGACCACUUGAUAUGAGAGACACAUCCUGUUUUUAAAGGUGGAUCAUGAGUGAAGCUCUGCAGGUCGGCCAUUGACUUGAUAACAGUGGUUUAUUUUUAUUCAAUUUAUGAAUAAAUCUCUCGCCAACCAUUCACCUAUUUACUGACAAAACGGAUCCAAGUCUUGUUCAGCCUGAUGCUCAACCUUGUAUGAUGAUGACCACAGCCAGGUGAUGGAGAUCUGUGUUAAUCACAGCCUGCGUCUCAAGAUCAACAUGACAAUAGCGGCCAUCUUUUAUCUUACUCUUAUCUGACUAAACAUUGGAUGGAGUAUGUACUGUACAAUGACCCAGCAAACAAAAUAAUAUGGACUUUUUUGGCGAGAUUCUAACAUUGACACAUUAAUUUUUAUAGUUAGUAAUGUAUUAUUAACAUCCUAUUCAUUUGUAUUCUAUGCCAUCUAUCUGUUUGUGCUAAAGUGUUUACAUCUGAAUGUAAUGUCAUAAUAUGUUAAUAUUCAGUAUUUAUUAUCAUUUGCAUGUUUUGAUGUUGCAUUUGUCAUGAUUUUAUUAAUUUCAUGUUAUUGUUGUCUAUUUAGAAUGAUUGUCUUUGCCAAUGAUUCUGAUUUUAAUGCACAUAUUUAUUAUUGUAUAUCUCAUGUAAUGAAAACGUGAAAAUAAAAGUAUUUUUCUGAUGUCUUGCGGUUCUGUUUUUAAACUGUUAAACCGUGUAAAGUGCUAUAAAUAAAAAACAAAAAUAUAAACAAAAUAACCCUCCUGACUGCUAAUAAAUGAAAAGGGUUUUUUAUAGCACCACUGAGGUUCUAUGUAGCACUUUUCAAGGCAAGGUUCUAUAUAGAACCAUCUAAAAAAGGGUUCUAUAUAGUACCAAAGAGGGUGCUGCUAUUGUUACAAGCUGAAGAACCCUUAUUUGGUACUAUAUAGAACCAUUUUUCUUAAGAGUGUAAUAGUUUGCAAAUUGUGCAUGUUUACACUAUUUAUUUUUACUGUUGAUCACCAUGUGACACCAUUAAUCUUGCCACAUGGUGAUCAACAGGAAAAAUGACCAAUUUUACCUUUUUGCAAAA
Non-coding RNA from Misgurnus anguillicaudatus (oriental weatherfish), 2672 nucleotides. The record is from RefSeq and is a predicted model, not a curated record. NCBI's taxonomy places the organism in Eukaryota, Metazoa, Chordata, Actinopteri, Cypriniformes, Cobitidae.